RNAcentral lists this ribosomal RNA (497 nucleotides) under uncultured bacterium. RNAcentral describes it as "partial 16S ribosomal RNA". It matches the Rfam family "Bacterial small subunit ribosomal RNA", at positions 28 to 507 of the family's 1533-position model. The record is from RNAcentral.
GAUGAACGCUGGCGGCGUGCCUAAUACAUGCAAGUCGAGCGGACAGACGAGGAGCUUGCUCCUCUGACGUUAGCGGCGGACGGGUGAGUAACACGUGGAUAACCUACCUAUAAGACUGGGAUAACUUCGGGAAACCGGAGCUAAUACCGGAUAAUAUAUUGAACCGCAUGGUUCAAUAGUGAAAGACGGUUUUGCUGUCACUUAUAGAUGGAUCCGCGCCGCAUUAGCUAGUUGGUAAGGUAACGGCUUACCAAGGCAACGAUGCGUAGCCGACCUGAGAGGGUGAUCGGCCACACUGGAACUGAGACACGGUCCAGACUCCUACGGGAGGCAGCAGUAGGGAAUCUUCCGCAAUGGGCGAAAGCCUGACGGAGCAACGCCGCGUGAAUGAUGAAGGUCUUCGGAUCGUAAAACUCUGUUAUUAGGGAAGAACAAAUGUGUAAGUAACUAUGCACGUCUUGACGGUACCUAAUCAGAAAGCCACGGCUAACUACGUG